AACGCACAUUGCGCCCCUUGGUAUUCCGAGGGGCAUGCCUGUUCGAGCGUCAUUAUGACCACUCAAGCCUGGCUUGGUAUUGGGGUUCGCAGACCCGCGGCUCUUAAAAUCAGUGGCGGCGCCAUCUGGCUCUAAGCGUAGUAAUCUUUCUCGCUACAGGGUCCCGGUGGAUGUUUGCCAGUAACCCCUUAUUUUCUUAGGUUGACCUCGGAUCAGGUAGGGAUACCCGCUGAACUUAA
RNAcentral lists this unclassified non-coding RNA (239 nucleotides) under uncultured fungus. RNAcentral describes it as "sequence contains ITS2". The stretch from base 1 to 52 matches the Rfam family "5.8S ribosomal RNA", at positions 103 to 154 of the family's 154-position model. The record is from RNAcentral. Lineage: Eukaryota; Fungi.